AGUGAACGCUGGCGGUAGGCCUAACACAUGCAAGUCGAACGGCAGCACAGGAGAGCUUGCUCUCUGGAUGGCGAGUGGCGGACGGGUGAGGAAUACAUCGGAAUCUACUUUUUCGUGGGGGAUAACGUAGGGAAACUUACGCUAAUACCGCAUACGACCUACGGGUGAAAGCAGGGGACCUUCGGGCCUUGCGCGAUUGAAUGAGCCGAUGUCGGAUUAGCUAGUUGGCGGGGUAAAGGCCCACCAAGGCGACGAUCCGUAGCUGGUCUGAGAGGAUGCUCAGCCACACUGGAACUGAGACACGGUCCAGACUCCUACGGGAGGAAGCAGUGGGGAAUAUUGGACAAUGGGCGCAAGCCUGAUCCAGCCAUACCGCGUGGGUGAAGGAGGCCUUCGGGUUGUAAAGCCCUUUUGUUGGGAAAGAAAUCCAGCUGGCUAAUACCCGGUUGGGAUGACGGUACCCAAAGAAUAAGCACCGGCUAACUUCGUGCCAGCAGCCGCCGUAA
This 506-nucleotide ribosomal RNA is filed under the name uncultured bacterium. RNAcentral's name for it is "partial 16S ribosomal RNA". It matches the Rfam family "Bacterial small subunit ribosomal RNA", at positions 29 to 523 of the family's 1533-position model. The record is from RNAcentral.